AGGUAUUCUUCUACUUUAGAAUUAUCCUGGGUAUGCUGUAGACUGUUUUGUUGAUUCAACAGCAGGAUUUAUGAUAAAUGGAUAUAUUACUGUGAUUUUUGUGUUGUCUUAAUUAAUACACUGUCUUACAUUGCAUAGUCUUACAUCAUCCGUGUGAGCAACAACAGGACCAACACAGGACACUAACAUGAAGUGGAUGACAUAAUUGGAAAAACACAGAAUUACACAGCUUUGAUUCCAAGAGGAGAACAAGUAAUUUUUGCCAUUUCUGUGAUGUGCCACAACCACCUGAAGGAACAGAUACCUGGUAUUUCGGAUGUGGGCUAUGUCUAAUAAACAUAGUAACAUGAUCACACUUUUA
Pipra filicauda (Wire-tailed manakin) is the source of this 361-nucleotide long non-coding RNA. RefSeq lists it as uncharacterized. Lineage: Eukaryota; Metazoa; Chordata; Aves; Passeriformes; Pipridae. The transcript is spliced from 2 exons. The record is from RefSeq and is a predicted model, not a curated record.